RNAcentral lists this ribosomal RNA (607 nucleotides) under Trichoderma virens. Its description in RNAcentral is "eukaryotic LSU rRNA". The stretch from base 221 to 374 matches the Rfam family "5.8S ribosomal RNA". Lineage: Eukaryota; Fungi; Ascomycota; Sordariomycetes; Hypocreales; Hypocreaceae. The record is from RNAcentral.
GACCAGCGGAGGGAUCAUUACCGAGUUUACAACUCCCAAACCCAAUGUGAACGUUACCAAACUGUUGCCUCGGCGGGAUCUCUGCCCCGGGUGCGUCGCAGCCCCGGACCAAGGCGCCCGCCGGAGGACCAACCAAAACUCUUAUUGUAUACCCCCUCGCGGGUUUUUUACUAUCUGAGCCAUCUCGGCGCCCCUCGUGGGCGUUUCGAAAAUGAAUCAAAACUUUCAACAACGGAUCUCUUGGUUCUGGCAUCGAUGAAGAACGCAGCGAAAUGCGAUAAGUAAUGUGAAUUGCAGAAUUCAGUGAAUCAUCGAAUCUUUGAACGCACAUUGCGCCCGCCAGUAUUCUGGCGGGCAUGCCUGUCCGAGCGUCAUUUCAACCCUACCCUCGAACCCCUCCGGGGGGCGUUGGGGAUCGGCCCUUUACGGGGCCGGCCCCGAAAUACAGUGGCGGUCUCGCCGCAGCCUCUCCUGCGCAGUAGUUUGCACACUCGCAUCGGGAGCGCGGCGCGUCCACAGCCGUUAAACACCCCAAACUUCUGAAAUGUUGACCUCGGAUCAGGUAGGAAUACCCGCUGAACUUAAGCAUAUCAAUAAAGCGGAGGAA